GAUGAACGCUGGCGGCGUGCCUAAUACAUGCAAGUCGAGCGAACAGACGAGGAGCUUGCUCCUCUGACGUUAGCGGCGGACGGGUGAGUAACACGUGGAUAACCUACCUAUAAGACUGGGAUAACUUCGGGAAACCGGAGCUAAUACCGGAUAAUAUAUUUAACCGCAUGGUUCAAUAGUGAAAGACGGUUUUGCUGUCACUUAUAGAUGGAUCCGCGCCGCAUUAGCUAGUUGGUAAGGUAACGGCUUACCAAGGCAACGAUGCGUAACUGACCUGAGAGGGUGAUCAGCCAUGCUGGAACUGAGACACGGUCCAGAAUCCUACGGGAGGCAGCAGUAGGGAAUCUUCCGCAAUGGGCGAAAGCCUGACGGGGCAACGCCGCGUGAGUGAUGAAGGUCUUCGGAUCGUAAAACUCUGUUAUUAGGGAAGAACAAAUGUGUAAGUAACUAUGCACGUCUUGACGGUACCUAAUCAGAAAGCCACGGCUAACUACGUG
RNAcentral lists this ribosomal RNA (497 nucleotides) under uncultured bacterium. RNAcentral's name for it is "partial 16S ribosomal RNA". It matches the Rfam family "Bacterial small subunit ribosomal RNA", at positions 28 to 507 of the family's 1533-position model. The record is from RNAcentral.